This 665-nucleotide long non-coding RNA is filed under the name Anser cygnoides (Swan goose). Its description in RNAcentral is "lncRNA (ENSACDG00005004581.1)". Lineage: Eukaryota; Metazoa; Chordata; Aves; Anseriformes; Anatidae. The record is from RNAcentral.
AGUGGAUAGUUCAGUGACCAUACAAAGCAUGGGCAAACAGGCAGCGUUAUGUAGAGAGCAGAGAGCAAGGCAGGAGGCGGCUCGGCUGCUGUCUGGAUCCAUCUUGUGACUGUGCCUUAACCGCAGCCUGCAACUCCAGGCCUCUUUCAAGGACAGUGUAAUAAUGGCACUUACAGGGCCCAUCCUCACUGCGAUUUUUGUUUGUUGCUCUGUUCAAUAAGGCUUUCAGGAGGUGGUGGCCUUUUCAGCUUGGAAAAGAGAACAUCUUUUACCUUUAGCUUGAUCCGUCAGCUAUUGAAGUCAGUGGAAAAGCUCCUAGUGAUUUGAGCAUGUCAUCACGAGGUUGGUGAAAGGAUGGAACAAAAGUGAAACCUGAAGUGAGAGAAGUCCUGUGAAAACUGAAGUGAGAGAAGUCCUGUCCUCCAGGGAUAGUGUUUUAACUAAAAAUAUAGCAUUGGGAAAAGGAUAAAGGUAUUUUUUCAUCAUCUUGUGUCUCACACCACUAACUCAAAUUUUGUGGAUUCAGAAAAGCCUUCAGGUAUUCUCUGUGCUCUGUCUCCUGAGCAGUUUCAGAUUAGAUCAUAAAGAGGAGAGUGGAGAGAUGUAAGAAUUUUCAUGAAAUGUAUUUGGUAGAGGGGACUUAAUAAAUACCCGUUGUGUAUUCA